UCGAGUUAGUAAGGGCGCGUGGUGGAUGCCUUGGCGCUGAGAGCCGAAGAAGGACGUAGUAGGCUGCGAUAAGCUACGGGGAGCCGCCUGCAGGCAUUGAUCCGUAGGUAUCCGAAUGGGGCAACCCGGCCGGGGUCAUGCCCGGUCACCGCUACCUGAAUAUAUAGGGUAGUCGGGGGUAAGUGGGGGAACUGAAACAUCUAAGUACCCCGAGGAAAAGAGAUUAUUCCCUUAGUAGUGGCGAACGAACGGGGAAGAGCCCAAACCCAUCAGAUGUAAGGUUGCGGCCGUUGUCUGGUGGGGGUUGUGGGGCCGUAGUGGGGUCCUCUGCAAGGGACCCGAGUGGAUAUAGCUAUCUAGUCGAAGUCUUUGGAAUAGGGCACGACAUAGGGUGAUAGUCCCGUAGGCGAAAGGUAGCUAUAGUGCUUGAUUACGGUACCCGAGUACCGCGGGACACGCGGAAUCCCGUGGGAAGCUGGGGGGACCACCCUCCAAGGCUAAAUACUCUCAGCGACCGAUAGUGAACUAGUACCGUGAGGGAAAGGUGAAAAGCACCCCGGAAGGGGGAUGAAAAGAACCUGAAACCACGCGCCUACAAGCAGUCGGAGGGGGAAACCCUGACGGCGUGCCUAUUGAAGAAUGAACCGGCGAGUUACUCUACGUGGCUGGUUAAGGAUGUAAAGGUCCGGAGCCGCAGCGAAAGCGAGUCUGAAUAGGGCGUUUGUCGCGUGGAGUAGACCCGAAACCGGGUGAGCUAUCCAUGGCCAGGCCGAAGCUCUGCUAAACCGGAGUGGAGGGCCGAACCCAUGUAUGUUGCAAAAUGCAGGGAUGAGCUGUGGAUAGGGGUGAAAUGCCAAACGAACCCGGAGAUAGCUGGUUCUCCCCGAAAUGCAUUUAGGUGCAGCCUCGAGAUUAUCCUCGUGGGGGUAGAGCACUGAAUGGGCUAGGGGGCGCGAGCUUACCAAACCCAAUCAAACUCCGAAUACCAUGAGGCGUUGCUCGGGAGUGAGACGGCGGGUGCUAAGAUUCGUCGUCGAGAGGGAAACAACCCAGACCGCCGGCUAAGGUCCCUAAAUCUAGGCUAAGUGUCAAAGGAUGUGGGAUUACCGAAACAGCCAGUAUGUUGGCUUAGAAGCAGCCACCAUUUAAAGAGUGCGUAACAGCUCACUGGUCGAGUGAUCCUGCGCCGACAAUGUAUCGGGGCUCAAGCCUAGUACCGAAGCCGCGGACUCUCGUAAAGAGAGUGGUAGGGGAGCGUCGCACGAGCGGUGAAGUCGUUUCGUAAGGAACGGUGGAGCGAGUGCGAGUGAGAAUGCCGGUAUGAGUAGCAGAAGGUGUGUGAGAAACACACCCACCGAAUGCCCAAGGUUUCCGACGGAAGGCGAGUCCACGUCGGGUUAGUCGGGCCUAAGCCGAGGGCGAAAGCCGUAGGCGAUGGACAAACGGUUUAUAUUCCGUUACCGCUUGCAGAUGAUAAAGUCCCGUUUGGGGGACGCUGUGGGGUAGGCCGGGGGCAGUGCUGGAGCUACUGCCUCCAAGGGUGCAGACUCUUUCGGGAGUCGAGACUCGGGGCAGCUGCGGGGAGACCCAAGGCGAUCCGGCUGAACCUCGGGGCCAAGAAAAGCCUAAACGGGGAAGCUGCAGGCGCCCGUACCGAAAACCGACACAGGUGGGCGGGAGUAAGAACUCUAAGGUGGACGGGAGACCCCUCGUUAAGGAACUCGGCAAAUUAGCCCCGUAACUUCGGGAGAAGGGGCGCCCUCUGGGGUGAUCGUAAGUGAGCUCUGGGGGGCCGCAGUGAGCAGGCCCAGGCGACUGUCUAACAAAAACACAGGUCCCUGCUAAAGCGAGAGCUGAUGUAUAGGGGCUGACGCCUGCCCGAUGCCGGAAGGUUAAGGGGAGAGGUGAGAGCCUUGAACCGAAGCCCCGGUCAAUGGCGGCCGUAACUAUAACGGUCCUAAGGUAGCGAAAUUCCUUGUCGGGUAAGUUCCGACCCGCACGAAUGGCGUAACGAUCUGGGCGCUGUCUCAACGAGGGACCCGGCGAAAUUGAAUUGACGGUGAAGAUGCCGUCUACCCGUGACAGGACAAAAAGACCCCGUGGAGCUUUACUGCAGCCUGACAUUGGAUCGGGGUGCAGCAUGCGUAGGAUAGGUGGGAGGCUUGGAAGGAGUCCCUCUGGGGGCUCUGGAGCCGACGUUGAAAUACCACCCUUGCUUCGCUUUGAUCCUAACCUGCAGCCAUUAUCUGGCGUGGGGAAAGUGUCUGGUGGGCAGUUUGACUGGGGCGGUCGCCUCCCAAAAGGUAACGGAGGCGCACAAAGGUUCCCUCAGGCUGAAUGGAAACCAGCCAUUGAGCGCAUUGGUAUAAGGGAGCUUGACUGCGAGACGUACAUGUCGAGCAGGGGCGAAAGCCGGUCAAAGUGAUCCUCUGGCUCUUUGUGGAAAGGCCAGGGCUUAACGGAUAAAAGCUACCCCGGGGAUAACAGGCUUAUCCUGCCCGAGAGUCCAUAUCGACGGCAGGGUUUGGCACCUCGAUGUCGGCUCGUCGCAUCCUGGGGCUGGAGUAGGUCCCAAGGGUUGGGCUGUUCGCCCAUUAAAGCGGUACGCGAGCUGGGUUCAGAACGUCGUGAGACAGUUCGGUCUCUAUCCGUCACGGGCGUAGGGGAUUUGCGGGGAGCUGCCCCCAGUACGAGAGGACCAGGGUGGACAGACCUCCGGUGUGCCAGUCGUCCUGCCAAGGGCGCUAAGCUGGGUAGCCGACGUCUGGAAGAGAUAAGCGCUGAAAGCAUCUAAGUGCGAAGCUCGCCCCAAGAUGAGAUCCCCCACAGAGUUAAUCUGGUAAGGCCGCAGAUAGACCAUCUGCUCGAUAGGCCGCACGUGUAAGAUGGGUAACCAUCUCAGCUUAGCGGUACUAAUGGCCGAGGACUCGACUC
Molecule: ribosomal RNA, 2934 nt
Filed under: Chloroflexi bacterium UBA6077
Lineage: Bacteria; Bacillati; Chloroflexota
Description: bacterial LSU rRNA
Rfam family: Bacterial large subunit ribosomal RNA
Source: RNAcentral